UACCCGCAGCACAAGUGGUGGUCAUUAUUAUUGGGCCUAAAGCGUCCGUAGCUGGCCUGUUAGAUGCCUGGGUAAAUCGAUGCGCUCAACGUAUCGAACUCCGGGUAGACCGGCAGGCUUGGGACCGGGAGAGAUGUGAGCUGCUCGAGGGGUAGGGGUAAAAUCCUGUAAUCCUUCGGGGAGGACCAGUGGCGAAGGCGUCACAUUAGAACGGCUCCGACAGUGAGGGACGAAGCCCUGGGGCGCAAACCGG
This 253-nucleotide ribosomal RNA is filed under the name uncultured bacterium. Its description in RNAcentral is "partial 16S ribosomal RNA". It matches the Rfam family "Archaeal small subunit ribosomal RNA", at positions 474 to 727 of the family's 1478-position model. The record is from RNAcentral.